Lycium ferocissimum is the source of this 538-nucleotide long non-coding RNA. RefSeq lists it as uncharacterized. The record is from RefSeq and is a predicted model, not a curated record. Lineage: Eukaryota; Viridiplantae; Streptophyta; Magnoliopsida; Solanales; Solanaceae. The transcript is spliced from 3 exons.
UAACUUCAGAUAUUGAAACCCUACAGCUCUCUGAAGGUCCUCUCUAGGUUCCCACACUAUCCUAACUCAAAUCCAAGAUAUUAUAACAUCAAAUACCUGUCGGAAAGAUCGUAGUGUGAAGGAAACUCGGUUCCUCUACGUUCUAGUGGCAUUUACUUCAAGGUGAAGGAAGGUUGUGAAGGGCUGAUUCUCUAAGUUUAAGAUUAGCGUAUUGGUGAGUUUCCUGCAGUAUCAAGAAGGACGAGUACGGUUGAGGUAUUAUGCAGUUGAAGAGCAAUCUCCUGAAGCCUAUGCCCUGUGCUUAGUGAUUUAUUGGAGAACUUUCUUCCAAUAUGUUCAGCCCAGAUUUGGUAUACUGCAGCUGCAAAGCAGAAGCCCAGUAUGCAGCCCCUUGGUCUACUGCUACCUAUCUGUUGUAGUAACCAUGCAAUCUCCUAGUUCUAGCUUCUUAUAGGCCUUUCAACACCCAACCAUCUCAACAGAGCAGACCAUAUACAGUGUGAGUAAGGACAAGUGAAGAACAAAUGAUCAAAUAUUU